RNAcentral lists this ribosomal RNA (316 nucleotides) under Propionibacterium acidifaciens. RNAcentral describes it as "bacterial SSU rRNA". It matches the Rfam family "Bacterial small subunit ribosomal RNA", at positions 156 to 483 of the family's 1533-position model. The record is from RNAcentral. Lineage: Bacteria; Bacillati; Actinomycetota; Actinomycetes; Propionibacteriales; Propionibacteriaceae.
ACAGGUGGUAAUCCCGAAUAUUCAGUUUCCGGGCAUCCGGGUUGUUGGAAAGCUUUUUGCGGUCAGGGAUCGUCUCGCGGCCUAUCAGCUUGUUGGUGGGGUAGUGGCCCACCAAGGCCUUGACGGGUAGCCGGCCUGAGAGGGCGACCGGCCACAUUGGGACUGAGAUACGGCCCAGACUCCUACGGGAGGCAGCAGUGGGGAAUAUUGCACAAUGGGCGGAAGCCUGAUGCAGCAACGCCGCGUGCGGGAUGACGGGCUUCGGGUUGUAAACCGCUUUCACCCAUGACGAAAGCGCGAAGUGACGGUAGUGGGG